UGGGCAACCUGCCCCUCCCUCUGGGAUAACCCCGGGAAACCGGAGCUAAUACCGGAUACUCCGGCUGGAUCGCAUGGUCCGGCCGGGAAAGGUCCGCCGGAGAGGGAUGGGCCCGCGGCCUAUCAGCUUGUUGGUGGGGUCAUGGCUCACCAAGGCGACGACGGGUAGCUGGUCUGAGAGGACGACCAGCCACACUGGAACUGAGACACGGUCCAGACUCCGUACGGGAGGCA
RNAcentral lists this ribosomal RNA (233 nucleotides) under uncultured bacterium. RNAcentral describes it as "partial 16S ribosomal RNA". It matches the Rfam family "Bacterial small subunit ribosomal RNA", at positions 118 to 350 of the family's 1533-position model. The record is from RNAcentral.